Molecule: transfer RNA, 105 nt
Filed under: Xylaria arbuscula
Lineage: Eukaryota; Fungi; Ascomycota; Sordariomycetes; Xylariales; Xylariaceae
Rfam family: tRNA
About the family: Transfer RNA (tRNA) molecules are approximately 80 nucleotides in length. Their secondary structure includes four short double-helical elements and three loops (D, anti-codon, and T loops).
Source: Rfam by way of RNAcentral
GGACCCGUAGCUCAGCGGUAGAGCAUCUGAUUCCAGCUUGGGUUCCAUUCAUGGAUUCAUUCCACUGCCUCCAGAAGGUCAUCCGUUCAAAUCGGGUCGGGUUCA